UUGGAGGGCAAGUCUGGUGCCAGCAGCCGCGGUAAUUCCAGCUCCAAUAGCGUAUAUUAAAGUUGUUGCAGUUAAAAAGCUCGUAGUUGAAUUUCGGGAUCAAAUAAUCGGUCGUGCCUCCGGUACGUACUGGUUUUAUUGGUUCCUCCCUUCUGACGAACCAUGAUGUCAUUAAUUUGAUGUGGUGGAGAAUCAGGACUGUUACCUUGAAAAAAUUAGAGUGUUUAAAGCAGGCUAACGUUUGAAUACAUUAGCAUGGAAUAAUGAAAUAGGACGUUCGACCCUAUUUUGUUGGUUUCUAGGAUCGACGUAAUGAUUAAUAGGGAUAGUUGGGGGCAUUAGUAUUCAAUUGUCAGAGGUGAAAUUCUUGGAUUUAUUGAAGACUAACUACUGCGAAAGCAUUUGCCAAGGAUGUUUUCAUUAAUCAAGAACGAAAGUUAGGGGAUCGAAGACGAUCAGAUACCGUCGUAGUCUUAACCAUAAACUAUGCCGACUAGGGAUCGGAUGAUGUUAAUUUUUUAAUGACUCAUUCGGCGCCUUACGGGAAAC
This 549-nucleotide ribosomal RNA is filed under the name uncultured Glomus. Its description in RNAcentral is "SSU rRNA". It matches the Rfam family "Eukaryotic small subunit ribosomal RNA", at positions 548 to 1098 of the family's 1831-position model. The record is from RNAcentral. Lineage: Eukaryota; Fungi; Glomeromycota; Glomeromycetes; Glomerales; Glomeraceae.